CAGUAGCCGCGGUAAUACGUAGGUGGCAAGCGUUGUCCGGAAUUAUUGGGCGUAUAGGGCUCGCAGGCGGUUUCUUAAGUCUGAUGUGAAAGCCCCCGGCUCAACCGGGGAGGGUCAUUGGAAACUGGGAAGCUUGAGUGCAGAAGAGGAGAGUGGAAUUCCACGUGUAGCGGUGAAAUGCGUAGAGAUGUGGAGGAACACCAGUGGCGAAGGCGACUCUCUGGUCUGUAACUGACGCUGAGGAGCGAAAGCGUGGGGAGCGAACAGGAUUAGAUACCCCGGUAGUCCCUGUCUCUUAUAC
This 301-nucleotide ribosomal RNA is filed under the name uncultured bacterium. Its description in RNAcentral is "partial 16S ribosomal RNA". It matches the Rfam family "Bacterial small subunit ribosomal RNA", at positions 509 to 807 of the family's 1533-position model. The record is from RNAcentral.